This 258-nucleotide long non-coding RNA is filed under the name Mytilus galloprovincialis (Mediterranean mussel). The record is from RNAcentral. Lineage: Eukaryota; Metazoa; Mollusca; Bivalvia; Mytilida; Mytilidae.
AAGUGGGUCUCAUUGGGGGGUUCCGAUCCCGGAUCCCGCUUACUGUUUUGUCAGAUUCCCGUAUCCCGCUUACUGUUUUGUCAGAUUCCCGUAUCCCGCUUACACUAUGUACGUAAGCAAUUCUUUUUUUUUUGUCAUUUCCCGGGUCCCGCAAGACCUCAUUUCCCGUUUUCACGACACAAUAAUUUGACUUUCCCGUGUCACGCUUACAAAAAAUCGGCAAUCCCGCGUCACGCUUAGACCCCAAUGAGACCCACU